This 346-nucleotide ribosomal RNA is filed under the name uncultured Comamonadaceae bacterium. Its description in RNAcentral is "bacterial SSU rRNA". It matches the Rfam family "Bacterial small subunit ribosomal RNA", at positions 1033 to 1382 of the family's 1533-position model. The record is from RNAcentral. Lineage: Bacteria; Pseudomonadati; Pseudomonadota; Betaproteobacteria; Burkholderiales; Comamonadaceae.
CACAGGUGCUGCAUGGCUGUCGUCAGCUCGUGUCGUGAGAUGUUGGUUAAGUCCCGCAACGAGCGCAACCCUUGUCAUUAGUUGCUACAUUUAGUUGGGCACUCUAAUGAGACUGCCGGUGACAAACCGGAGGAAGGUGGGGAUGACGUCAAGUCCUCAUGGCCCUUAUAGGUGGGGCUACACACGUCAUACAAUGGCCGGUACAAAGGGCUGCCAACCCGCGAGGGGGAGCCAAUCCCAUAAAACCGGUCGUAGUCCGGAUCGCAGUCUGCAACUCGACUGCGUGAAGUCGGAAUCGCUAGUAAUCGUGGAUCAGAAUGUCACGGUGAAUACGUUCCCGGGUCUU